UACGUAGGGGGCGAGCGUUGUCCGGAUUUAUUGGGCGUAAAGAGCGUGUAGGCGGCCAGGUAGGUCUGCUGUGAAAACUCGAGGCUCAACCUCGAGACGUCGGCGGAAACCAUCUGGCUAGAGUCCGGAAGAGGAGAGUGGAAUUCCUGGCUGUAGCGGUGGAAUGCGCAGAUAUCAGGAGGAACACCGGUGGCGAAGGCGGGUCUCUGGGCAGUAACUGACGCUGAGGAGCGAAAGCGUGGGGGAGCGAACAGG
RNAcentral lists this ribosomal RNA (255 nucleotides) under uncultured bacterium. RNAcentral describes it as "partial 16S ribosomal RNA". It matches the Rfam family "Bacterial small subunit ribosomal RNA", at positions 524 to 776 of the family's 1533-position model. The record is from RNAcentral.